RNAcentral lists this ribosomal RNA (781 nucleotides) under uncultured bacterium. Its description in RNAcentral is "bacterial SSU rRNA". It matches the Rfam family "Bacterial small subunit ribosomal RNA", at positions 60 to 854 of the family's 1533-position model. The record is from RNAcentral.
AGUCGAACGGAGCUUAGAGAGCUUGCUUUUUAAGCUUAGUGGCGAACGGGUGAGUAACGCGUGAGUAACCUGCCCUAGAGUGGGGGACAACAGUUGGAAACGACUGCUAAUACCGCAUAAGCCCACGGUACCGCAUGGCACUGAGGGAAAAGGAUUUAUUCGCUUUAGGAUGGACUCGCGUCCAAUUAGCUAGUUGGUGAGGUAACGGCCCACCAAGGCGACGAUUGGUAGCCGGACUGAGAGGUUGAACGGCCACAUUGGGACUGAGACACGGCCCAGACUCCUACGGGAGGCAGCAGUGGGGGAUAUUGCACAAUGGGGGAAACCCUGAUGCAGCGACGCCGCGUGGAGGAAGAAGGUUUUCGGAUUGUAAACUCCUGUCGUUAGGGACGAUAAUGACGGUACCUAACAAGAAAGCACCGGCUAACUACGUGCCAGCAGCCGCGGUAAAACGUAGGGUGCAAGCGUUGUCCGGAAUUACUGGGUGUAAAGGGAGCGCAGGCGGGAAGACAAGUUGGAAGUGAAAACCAUGGGCUCAACCCAUGAAUUGCUUUCAAAACUGUUUUUCUUGAGUAGUGCAGAGGUAGAUGGAAUUCCCGGUGUAGCGGUGGAAUGCGUAGAUAUCGGGAGGAACACCAGUGGCGAAGGCGGUCUACUGGGCACCAACUGACGCUGAGGCUCGAAAGCAUGGGUAGCAAACAGGAUUAGAUACCCUGGUAGUCCAUGCCGUAAACGAUGAUUACUAGGUGUUGGGGGAUUGACCCCCUCAGUGCCGCAGUUA